This 4052-nucleotide long non-coding RNA is filed under the name Strigops habroptila (Kakapo). Its description in RNAcentral is "lncRNA (ENSSHBG00005020999.1)". The record is from RNAcentral. Lineage: Eukaryota; Metazoa; Chordata; Aves; Psittaciformes; Psittacidae.
UGAGGACCAUAACAUUGAUUUAGGUGUUUUAUUAUUUUGAAUUAACUGAAGCCAACAAGUGGAUAGAAUUGGUCUCAUAAUGAUACUACAACAAUAAACUUGGGGAGUGUGUAUGAGACACUGCCUUACAAAAGAGACCAGCCACCUGACACAACAUUUCUCAAAGACAGAGAACAGCUAAUUAUGUUGAAUUCCAUUUGCUACAUAAUCUAGACCAUGACCUAGUGCUUCUAAAAAAACCUGUACAAAAUGAGCAUUUUUUACAUCUCAGAGGCACAUGAAUACAAAUCUGAUCUAUUUCAUAUAUACACAUGUACAUUACGGAAACCAGAGAUGAAGAUCAAAUUAAAAAGGUGUAUAUAAAAAGUGCCCAAAACAGGAGAUAAAAUGUGAAAAUGCAUCUUCACAACAGAGAAGUAAAAGGCACAAGUACUAAAAUAUGUAACCAUGCAAAAAAUGUAAGUACAGUCUGUGCACCAGAGCAAACCAAAUGGCUCCCACAACUGAUUUUACAGUAUUUCUCUAAAUAUCUCAGUAUUUAAACAUACCAUCAGUGCAACAUUUGCUGCCCUGUAGUAUACUACAGUGUUCACAUGAUAUGAAAUCCUUCUGACUUCCUUUCUCCAAAGCCAGAAUAAUUUAGCUGUGGAUAAAGUAUUAAAUAAAAUAGGGCUCCAACUGUCUGGGUGGAAGAGUAACCACAGCCCUCCUGCACCCCUCAUUGUCUAUGUAUUGAAUGUGUGUCUGCCAGAACUAUCACCUCUGCACCCUUUGCCAGGGUGAGUGUGGCUCUGCUGAGUGAUCUGAGAGCUGACAGCUCAGAUGUCACAGCUGCACCACUAAAAACACAGAUUCUUGGGGUAGAUUCCAAACUAUACCAUAGGAAUCUAUGUUAAUAUGUUUUCAUCAGGUUUAAAGUUUAAGUAAAAAUUAUAUGUUUGAAUAGGUACUACUCUCGCAGCUGAACAAAACUUUGAGACUGAAGCACAGAAAAAAGGUUUCAGGAACACAAUGUAGCCCUGUCAGCUGGCUCCACACUGUGGCAAGCGAUGGUACAGUGACCUGAGUUGCAGAUAUUUCUGCAACAAUAUUUUGAAUUGAAAAAUACUGAGAAAACCACCCCAAGGAUGCUGCAAAGGAACAAGAUGCCAGCAGCUGUUGAACUACAUCCUUUAAAAUCAGCUGUGUUACAUCACUUGUCGUACCUUCCUGACCAUGUUUCUUGAGUUAUGAAUGAAAUAACUAGAAUAUGAGCACUGCUACCUACACCAGAACCAACCCAGGAACUGCUCAGUCAAAGUUUGAGUCAAGUUUUCACUCUUGAAUCAAUAUAAGCCAAGCCACUGAUUUGGCAAGUGUUUGAUCAGCUGCUACUUCCUUCUUUCCUUGGAAAACAUCCCUCAGACCACACUGUGCAGUAUUUGUUUGAAGAGAAAACCACUUUAUAUUCACUGCCAUUAAAGGAGGGAAAAAAGUAUUCAUUUAUUUGUAAAUUCUAGUUCUCAGAUUCAUCACUAGCGCUAGGAUGCAGAGACUGCUGAGCGGUGACCGAUGGAGCAGGCCACAGUGUGUGUUUCUGUAUUAGCUUCCAAGCCCUCAAUUACUAACCAGACCAGGGAGCCUACACACAGCCUCUCCCAGAUCCUCUCUGGAGACUAAUGCAGUUCUGCUGAAGCAAACUGGGCAUUGCUGCAUUCAGACAGCAAAGUAUUGGAUACACACAUCUCUGAGAAUUAAUAACGCUGUGUUCAACUCCCCCCAGAGCUGGCUGAGAAACAUCUGAAAUUCUCCCAAGACCAUAAAAGGAAAGUUGGCAGCAAAAGUGUACGGGAUUUUUUUUCCUUUUUGAGACUUGCUACAAAUUUGCAUAUUAAAAACUCCUUAAAAAUAGAUGGGAUGGUUACAGUUUGUCAUCACUGCGCUUCAAAACACGACAAAUUCUCCAACAGCUUGAGUCUUUAAUAGAAGUUACUCAGAAAGCUGAAAAAUAGUCUUUUAUGUGAAGGUAAUUUUGAAUCAACAUCACACUCCAAAACCAGAACUAGGCAGCAGCUGAAGAAUGAUGUCUGGAGGGAAGCAGCCUGUAUCAGAAAAAUCUUGAGAGACCAUGUUUCAGCUACUCUUAGGUAUAAGUUUUGAAACACGAUUUUUUCUGCAGUAGCUUGUGUGUGGGAUCAGCCUAACAAAGGACAGCUUCUGGUGAGAAGCACUCAUGUUCUUUCACUGUACAAAACCACCUGAAAUGGUUUGCAACUGGUUUGACCAGAAUAUCACUUAGCUUUUCUGACUCUACAGCAGAAUGAACUAAGGAGCGGAUCAAGAUACAGUACCUUGGAUUGUGUUUGCAUCCCCAAGGAUUAAGUGAGAAGCACAGAUCAAACACAAGAACGUUUACUGCACUUGAGCAUUGCUAGAAUGAGAUGAUACCACAUUUCUGUAUCUGGUUAUUUACCUAGAGAGGUGAAGCCAUUGUUCCACCCCCAGUGACACUGACACAGAGGCAGGCUGUACUUCCCCACCUGGGCUGUGAGCACAAAGGAAGCCCACAGUAAGAAAUUUAUCAGAGGAUAGAUACUGAAACCAGUGCCUCGCUAUCUCCCACAUCUCCUGUCUGCUCUGCCAAUGUGGUUCUCUGAGACUUAACCAAAAUACGCACUCUGCAACAUCAGAUCUGAUUACUCCCUGCUCCCAUGACCCAUCAAGCGAUCCCUUAUUACCAAGUUACCUGCAUGUCAUAAAGCAUGACAACUUCUUUUCUGGUAUACAAGGGUUCUCCAAGUCUUGGGCUGCAAGACAAGUUGGUCUAGUAUCUGUAGUUACUGUAGCUACUCACUCUAAGAAUGCAAUUGCUAACUGGCAAUUUUAGAGGUGGACAUCUUAGAGGAAAAUCUAUCUGCCAGUGAAACACCUCUCCCACCUCCAACUCACGUUAGUUGUCAAACAUAGCAAGUAUCUGGAUAUGUAUUUGAGUGUAACAGAAAGCAGUAGCACACUGAGGGCCCCACAGGAGCAGAAGUAUAACUCUUUUAUGCAAUAAAACAAAGCUACAAACACCACCAACAUGGUGGUAAGACAACUCUUCAAAUGCAAACACUGGAGCAAGUAAGAGCUUCUAAAUGCUAAAGCAGUUGGGUACAGAGCUGAACAAGAAGUCCUGUGAGCCUUUAAAAAAUCCACUGCCAAGUACCCUUGGCUAGAAUACCACUUUCAGGAUUUCAGCCAGAUUUAAUGACUACUGACACUAUUAGUGACUAUUCACCUCUUACACUUAAUUACCUGCAAAAACCUUGGCUAUCACUACAGUCAUGUCUUCUGUUCAUGUCCGUGGGUCUGCGUCUCAGUGAAGCAAGCCAGGCUCUCUGCUUCCCAAGUGCUCAGCAUCAUUUUCAGGGAAAUAGUCCUCAACAUUUGCUGAUGUUCUACCCUAAUGGGAAUGGGGUUUAGAUUAUUAAAAUUUUGAAGCUAAGUCCAGUUUACUCUAAAAAUAUUUAGGGGGAAGCAUUCAGUCACCAGUCUGACCUGCAACAUUCUCACUCAUACUUAAAUCCACUGCAUGAGAGCAGGACAGAAGUGUAACUUACCAAACAGAGUCAGCUCCAGCAGCAGGGAUGCUGGCUCACCCAGCCCUGCUUGUCACAGCAGGCUGGCAGCAGCCACCUGACAGCUUGAACAGUUCUCUGUGGACUAUAAAAAGAGCAAAGUCCUUGGCACAACUCACAGACAGCACCACUUAGAGAGAAAUGCCAUCACAAAAGUGCAGGUGAAGAGUCCUGGCUUAACUGUUCCUCUCCUGCCUUCUGCUUCAUCCAGAAGCAGCAGCAGGUGGGGAAGGCGCACGCGUGUGUUGUCCAUGACAGAACCUUCUGCAAUGUAGCACAUUGUAGAUCAUUUUACACCAUCUCCCGGCAGCAAAGGAGCGGUCUUUAAAUCCCUUCCUCACACUAGAGCCUCAGGAAACCAGCCCUGAGACAUCACUGUUUAAACAAGACUGCACCAUUUCUUCCAGAGCACUGAAGUCUUACACACUUCGUGUGCUGGGGUGUUGUCCCAUA